AUUUACUUGUUUUUGAUUAUUUGAUAUCUGAAUAUUUUAGACUUGGAGCUCUCAUACUGAGUAUGUGAUGAGGCUGUGAAAUGUGCUGGAGUAUAAAUCUUCUUUUGAUAGGGAAGGUCAAAAAACUCUUCCAGUGCUCCUGGAAGCCCCUGGAUACCCUCCUCUGGUGCAGCAGGGUCUCUGCGUAAGCGUUGUGUCUCUUUCUUCUGG
This 210-nucleotide long non-coding RNA is filed under the name Parus major (Great Tit). RNAcentral describes it as "lncRNA (ENSPMJG00000003306.1)". The record is from RNAcentral. Lineage: Eukaryota; Metazoa; Chordata; Aves; Passeriformes; Paridae.